Molecule: ribosomal RNA, 420 nt
Filed under: uncultured bacterium
Lineage: Bacteria
Description: bacterial SSU rRNA
Rfam family: Bacterial small subunit ribosomal RNA
Source: RNAcentral
UAAGGAAUAUUGCUCAAUGGGAGAAAUCCUGAAGCAGCAACGCCGCGUGGAGGAUGAAGGGUCUAUGACUUGUAAACUCCUGUAAAGAAGGAAAAAAUUCCCAUUAGAUGGGAGAUGAUGGUACUUCUGGAGUAAGCCCCGGCUAACUACGUGCCAGCAGCCGCGGUAAUACGUAGGGGGCAAGCGUUGUCCGGAUUUACUGGGUGUAAAGGGUGCUCAGGCGGAUUUGUAAGUUGGAUGUGAAAGCUCCUGGCUUAACUGGGAGAGGUCGUUCAAAACUGCGAGGCUUGAGAGUGGUAGAGGGAGGUGGAAUUCCGGGUGUAGUGGUGAAAUGCGUAGAUAUCCGGAGGAACACCAGUGGCGAAAGCGGCCUCCUGGACCAUUUCUGACACUCAGACGCGAAAGCUAAGGUAGCAAACG